Acanthosepion pharaonis is the source of this 112-nucleotide non-coding RNA. The record is from the annotation of a GenBank genome assembly. NCBI's taxonomy places the organism in Eukaryota, Metazoa, Mollusca, Cephalopoda, Sepiida, Sepiidae.
UACGCCCAUAUCACAUUGAAAUACCGGUUCCCGUAAGAUCACCGAAGUUAAGGUACGUGAAGUCUGGUCCGUACCAACAUGUGUGACAACUUGGGAAUACCAGGUGAAGCAA